UUAAACGUUACAAUACGGUAUUUUACAUCAAUUUUCUACGAUUCAACCUAAUUUCUUCCAUUGUCUCAACGAAUUCGGCGCCAUCCUCCAUUAACCGGAUUACACUCGAGAGCUCGUAAAGAUCUUCGAACGGGGACGACCGACUUUCUCACGAGUAUAUCUCUACUUUUAGCUAACCGAACGACCUUGACAUCGAUUCACAUUCGCGUCCAUGACAAACGGAGAGGAACGUGACGCCUGUAUACUUCGACCAUGUUUGUGUGUCCUAUGUGUAUGUACUAUGCAUACAUAUAAAUACACACACACACAUAUAUAUACACAUAGAGAGGAAUGAUCGUUGCUUGACGUUGUUGUUGGCUCGUUGAGAGGAUAGCGCGCUUCGCGAAGCGCAAAGGUCGGGGAUACUCUGCAACCCGUUUCGGUAACGCGUAAAACUUUAUAGGCGACCAUAAAGACGGACGUUUAGCUUUAUUUGGGCAGUGUAAGAGGGAGAGACCGUUCUUAGCUGUCAAACGCAUGAGUUCGAGGGAACCUAACGGGAGAGAGAAUCUCUGAGGCCUAUGAACCGAGCGACGGCCGACGCUUUAGGCUUUUAUCCGAAGGAACAAGAAAUUCGGAUGAAAAUAUUACUGACACAACACCGGGAUACCUUAAAUAUCAAUAUUUAAACCACGAAGAAUACACAGAAUGUCAAUGAAUAUUCGAUGUCACAUAAAAAAAAUUUCACAUCGAUUUUGACUGUCGAAUGAAUCAAUGGCCAAUGGAUGGACGAUUAUUGUCAGGAAGAAACGAGAAGAAACGAGAAGAAAUAAAUCUUGAAUUUUCUGAGUACGAAUAAUUAUGAAUUUAGAUAUAAUCAUUGAAAAAAUUCUGUACCUACGGCAUUGGAGACAUUUUAGGCCUA
Molecule: long non-coding RNA, 904 nt
Organism: Vespa mandarinia (Asian giant hornet)
Lineage: Eukaryota; Metazoa; Arthropoda; Insecta; Hymenoptera; Vespidae
Source: RefSeq, a predicted model, not a curated record